CCUCCCCUUCCUUCCUCACUCACAGCUGAGGGCUUUGUUACCUACUUUACCCAGAAGGUGAAGGACUUCAUCUCCUCUUUUACCCCUGCCACCAUCCUCCCUCCCCAUAUCCCUACAUGUUUUACCCACCUUGUCCCUCUCACCUCCGAAGAUGUCAACAGAGUAGUUUUGUCUGACCACGCCACCGCUGGACCCGAUCCCCUCCUCACUCCUCCAGGCUCCUGUGGCUGCUGAUGGUCAACAGAUGUGGUUAAUCAGUAAUCGAUGGAACUGGAGUGAACAAUCCUUUAAAAGAACCACCGUUACUUCUGAGAGGUAUUUAGUUUACAGGGCCUGGCAAUUGGUUUGUAGAGCAAAACCCAGCAACACCUGAAAAAAAACGACAUGCAUGUUCCUUGUUCAAUCUCUUUGAGGUCAACCUGGAUAUUGUGUCUGAUUGGGUGUAUAUUAUCGCUACCAGUAGAUAAAGGUUUUGGCUCAAACAAUCCUUCACCAGCAUGGAGUGACUUCAGCAGUCCUCGCUCUACUUAUCCUGUUGGUCAAGCCGGCUCGGUGUAUACUUAUGGCAGCACACCGCAAGAUUACAUUGGAAGAGCGCCUUCCACUUGGUCCCAGCAGAACAGUGACUCAAAGGCUGAUGACGGGGUCUACUCAAAUGAUGGCUCCAAUAUGGAUGCUGGCGACUCUGGCUGGGCCAAGAGCGGUGCGAUGGACUCUGGUAGUGAUGCUCAGUACCCUGUUCCUGAAGGCUACCCUGAGGAGCUUGUCGCCCCCAUGGACCAGGAGCUGGAGGAACCUGAGGAAGAGCCCGUGUUGAGCGACGUCUCUGACCUGGAGCCGGUCUACCACUUCAGUUCCGGGUCACGCUACCAGCAAGGCAGACAGGCCUUCUUCCUAACCAGAUACAACCCCGGAGAGCCUAUGGUCGCCUCUGCUGACGCGUUGGUCUCUAACAGUUAUGGAAUGGGAAAUGGUGAGGGAGGGCCAGCUGAUCCAAGACAGCCUGGGAAGGGUGACUACUGAUCAACUGCAAUGUCUUUCAUUUCUAAUGGCUGUAUAUGAAUAAAUCUUUGCUUUCGGAAUUAGUUUCCUUUGCUUUAAUACAGGUUGCCAAGUUUAGCAUUGCUAAGAUGUGCAUGAAGCACUGUGCUUUGGUGUCCAUUGAACAAACAUUAUCCUGGAUCCAACUCCUUGGGUAUUGCAAGUACCCAAGGAGAACCAACUUGACCUUAUAUUCACGAGGUCCUGCGGUAACUCUGCUCUC
This 1264-nucleotide long non-coding RNA is filed under the name Gadus morhua (Atlantic cod). RNAcentral's name for it is "lncRNA (ENSGMOG00000024244.1)". The record is from RNAcentral. Lineage: Eukaryota; Metazoa; Chordata; Actinopteri; Gadiformes; Gadidae.